This 215-nucleotide long non-coding RNA is filed under the name Monodelphis domestica (gray short-tailed opossum). RNAcentral describes it as "lncRNA (ENSMODG00000045852.1)". Lineage: Eukaryota; Metazoa; Chordata; Mammalia; Didelphimorphia; Didelphidae. The record is from RNAcentral.
UCAGAGUGAUAGUCUGUCACAGACAACUGCCUCUCCUGAAUCAAGUUGCCCAUGAAAAACAAUGGAGUUGUUUCUGGGUUUCUUGGGCCAGUCUCAGAAGCCUGCUUAUCUACCUCUGGUGUCUACCAGUCACCCAACUCCCACCUCUGGCUCCAAAAUCUGUGAAUUGGAUGAUCAUUGGAAUAAGGGUGCUAAUUACUGGCAGCUAACAGUGG